ACAAGGUCUCCGUAGGUGAACCUGCGGAGGGAUCAUUACACAAUAAAAUACGAAGGCCGUUCGCGGCUGGACUAUUUAUUACCCUUGUCUUUUGCGCACUUGUUGUUUCCUGGGCGGGUUCGCUCGCCACCAGGACCACAAUAUAAACCUUUUUUAUGCAGUUGCAAUCAGCGUCAGUAUAACAAAUGUAAAUCAUUUACAACUUUCAACAACGGAUCUCUUGGUUCUGGCAUCGAUGAAGAACGCAGCGAAAUGCGAUACGUAGUGUGAAUUGCAGAAUUCAGUGAAUCAUCGAAUCUUUGAACGCACAUUGCGCCCUUUGGUAUUCCAAAGGGCAUGCCUGUUCGAGCGUCAUUUGUACCCUCAAGCUUUGCUUGGUGUUGGGCGUUUUUGUCCCCCCCCAAAAAGGGGACUCGCCUUAAAAGGAUUGGCAGCCGGCCUACUGGUUUCGCAGCGCAGCACAUUUUUGCGCUUGCAAUCAGCAAAAGAGGACGGCAAUCCAUCAAGACUCCUUCUCACGUUUGACCUCGGAUCAGGUAGGGAUACCCGCUGAACUUAAGCAUAUCAAU
Molecule: ribosomal RNA, 569 nt
Filed under: Curvularia nodosa
Lineage: Eukaryota; Fungi; Ascomycota; Dothideomycetes; Pleosporales; Pleosporaceae
Description: eukaryotic LSU rRNA
Rfam family: 5.8S ribosomal RNA (bases 201-354)
Source: RNAcentral